RNAcentral lists this ribosomal RNA (303 nucleotides) under uncultured bacterium. Its description in RNAcentral is "partial 16S ribosomal RNA". It matches the Rfam family "Bacterial small subunit ribosomal RNA", at positions 507 to 807 of the family's 1533-position model. The record is from RNAcentral.
AGCAGCCGCCGCGGGAAUACGAAGGGGGCUAGCGUUGCUCGGAAUUACUGGGCGUAAAGGGAGCGUAGGCGGACAUUUAAGUCAGGGGUGAAAUCCCAGAGCUCAACUCUGGAACUGCCUUUGAUACUGGGUGUCUUGAGUGUGAUAGAGGUAUGUGGAACUCCGAGUGUAGAGGUGAAAUUCGUAGAUAUUCGGAAGAACACCAGUGGCGAAGGCGACAUACUGGAUCAUUACUGACGCUGAGGCUCGAAAGCGUGGGGAGCAAACAGGAUUAGAUACCCCCGUAGUCCCUGUCUCUUAUAC